This 301-nucleotide ribosomal RNA is filed under the name uncultured bacterium. RNAcentral describes it as "partial 16S ribosomal RNA". It matches the Rfam family "Bacterial small subunit ribosomal RNA", at positions 509 to 807 of the family's 1533-position model. The record is from RNAcentral.
CAGCCGCCGCGGUAAAACGUAGGUGGCAAGCGUUGUCCGGAAUUAUUGGGCGCAAAGGGCUCGCAGGUGGUUUCUUAAGUCUGAUGUGAAAGCCCCCGGCUCAACCGGGGAGGGUCAUUGGAAACUGGGAAACUUGAGUGCAGAAGAGGAGAGUGGAAUUCCACGUGUAGCGGUGAAAUGCGUAGAGAUGUGGAGGAACACCAGUGGCGAAGGCGACUCUCUGGUCUGUAACCGACGCUGAGGAGCGAAAGCGUGGGGAGCGAACAGGAUUAGAUACCCCCGUAGUCCCUGUCUCUUAUAC